Molecule: non-coding RNA, 1407 nt
Organism: Oncorhynchus mykiss (rainbow trout)
Lineage: Eukaryota; Metazoa; Chordata; Actinopteri; Salmoniformes; Salmonidae
Source: RefSeq, a predicted model, not a curated record
GCUGUGAAGAGGGAACUUGGAAACGUCUAGUAAUGCGACGCCAAAGCAGACUGAUAGACACCAGAACAAAUAUAGUCCUACCUGAUUUAAAGGUGUUUACUCACUAACCAUCUUUUUCUGCAGUUGUGGGGAAUUUCUCUGGAUUUUUUUUAAUCAAUUGCUCUUUUGGCUCUUUUUGGUUGUGCCAACUGAAAAUUGAAAAGUGGAGAUGAAUUCUACCGCUUUCAAUCAAACGGACAGUGCAGGACUUUUCAAUAAGACUGAAGAUAUAUUUUGCUGUAACUUUUCAUCAGUGGUGACUGAUAAUGGCUUCGUGGCGGCGACUCCGGAUGAGAGAAGUCUCUUUCUCAUGAGAGUUGUCCAGAUAGCAGUUAUGUGCGUGUUAUCGCUCACGGUGGUUUUCGGUAUAUUCUUUUUGGGCUGCAAUCUUCUCAUCAAGUCGGAGGGAAUGAUCAACUUUUUGGUGACGGACAGAAGACCAUCCAAAGAGUGAAAGCAUCUGUUGUUCUGCUCCUGGCUCACCUCAUCUGGGCAUCAGCACCACCCCCAGCUCCCCAGGGGGAACCAAACAGCACCUCCACAAAAUGAUUUGUCUUGUCAACCCAGACCAAGGAGGACGAAGCCACAGCACAAUCUGCUGCAUUCUGAUAGGCCACCUGUGUCCCUGUGCUCUAUGGACAGAGUUAAAACUAAAAAGCGACUACAGUCGUUUUACUUCCUCCAAAAUCAUGCUUCCUGCCUGCCUGGUGGUUGAGGACAAAUCAAUCUGGCGACCCAUCAGAGUUAACUGAAUUGCAUUUGACAUGGCCCAUUAUGAUGUGUUAUGAUUGAUGGACGGCAGCAUAGCCUACGGGAUGCGUCUCCGGCCAAAGUCCCCAGCCACUAACUCACAUAUUAAUUACAAAUAGGACAUUUUGUUUGUUAAAUGGUCUUUAAAACUAAUAAUAUGUCAUUAGGCAUUUUAUGGACAGCCAUUACAGAGAAAUUCAUGAUAUUGCCAUUUUCCCUAGAUAAAAUCCUCUAAGCACAAAAAUGUUAACAGUAUCUCAUACAUAAGUGUCAAUUUGGUUGAACGUGAGUAUACAUUCAACACUAUACUCUGAGUAACUCAAUGAAGUUGAGUUAACCCAAUGAAGUGUUACCCAUUAGUUGAAAUGGUCAGCCAGUAGUCAUAUAGAGAUGGAUGAUUAGAUUACCCUGAAUACAUUUGUGGUAGACUACGAGUUGUGAAAACUGACCUAACCUAAACAAUGUUUAGCAUCAUCCAGUUAUUAAAGCGGAUUUAAGAUUGUAUCAUUUUUGUUACUUUCAUCAAAGCAUCUUCUCUCUUCCUGUAUUUAAUUGUAUUGUAUUCUAAACAUUUAUUGCAUUAUUAAACAUUUAUUUCAUUUAUUUGAAUGAUUGCAA